GGGGUCGACUGGUUUUGACAGCAAGUCGAAUUGAAUUGUAAGCACGUCGAGCAUUGUGUUUUUUGCUCGUAAAUCCAAAUUCACAAAAACAUAAACGGCGAAGGAAACUACGCUCUUGCUGCAUAAUCUGAAUUAAAGUAAGAUUAGCCUCGUCCUACAAGGUAGGAAAGCAGGAUUCACCUCGAUAGCUUUGGUUUGUGGCGGUCGGCUCAGGUGAAUCGUAAAAAUAAACCUAAGAACAGUAAAGCUUCGGAGCUGUUACGAAAAUUUAAGAAGAUAAGUAUGGUGUGGCUGUUUCUGGCCUAUCACUAUAUCGAAAAUCCAAUCAGAAAAUAAGCGUGUAGAAAACUCUUUAGUUGCUUGUUUGGACCCGAGUUCGAUUCUCGGCGACUCCAC
Molecule: transfer-messenger RNA, 396 nt
Filed under: Flavobacterium sangjuense
Lineage: Bacteria; Pseudomonadati; Bacteroidota; Flavobacteriia; Flavobacteriales; Flavobacteriaceae
Description: transfer-messenger RNA, SsrA
Rfam family: transfer-messenger RNA
About the family: Bacterial tmRNA, also known as 10Sa RNA or SsrA, is named for its dual tRNA and mRNA-like properties. Its role is to liberate the mRNA from a stalled ribosome.
Source: RNAcentral